Molecule: unclassified non-coding RNA, 253 nt
Filed under: uncultured Sandaracinaceae bacterium
Lineage: Bacteria; Pseudomonadati; Myxococcota; Polyangiales; Sandaracinaceae
Description: contains 16S-23S intergenic spacer region
Rfam family: Bacterial small subunit ribosomal RNA
Source: RNAcentral
GACAGAGGGUGCGAACGUUGCUCGGAAUCACUGGGCGUAAAGCGCGUGUAGGCGGACAGUCAAGUCAGGUGUGAAAUCCCCGGGCUCAACCCGGGAACUGCAUCUGAAACUGGCUGUCUUGAGUGUCGGAGAGGGAAGCGGAAUUCCUGGUGUAGAGGUGAAAUUCGUAGAUAUCAGGAGGAACACCGGUGGCGAAGGCGGCUUCCUGGACGACUACUGACGCUGAGACGCGAAAGCGUGGGGAGCAAACAGG